AAUUUAAUAUAAACGGCUGUCAUAAUGUAAUGUCUUACUAACGUUUAACGUCAAUUUAUUCUUCAUAUAAUGUAUUGUAUUGAUAUGUGUCAAAAUUAAAUAAAUAAAUGGACAUUUGUACAGGAAAAAUUCUUUUUUUGUUACUUUGUAAAUUCUUUAUUUAUUAAAACAAAUCAUUUUCUUUUUAAAUGUAUCUGUAUUUUAUAGAACUUUACAUCACCGUAGCAGGUUUCCUCAAAUCCUCAGAAUCUAAACAAAUGCUGUGAGUUCUCAAAUGGUGUUUGGCCCCCCGUCGUCUCUGUGGCCCCUCGUUGGACCUCCGUCCUGCAUCCGCAGGACUCUACAAUGUGGUCAUAGCUGAGCGUGAAGUUGGGCUUAGCUUAAGUUUAGGGUGACAGUUUGGAUUAAGCUGGUUCCCGUGUGACGGCUGGAUUUCUGAGGCUCCGCCUCCCACCACAGCGGGAUGACGAGGCCUACGCCGCAUUUCAAUCGGCAGCAUUCAGAGGUUCUACGAGUAAUGACAUCACAUGCAGUGAUUAACUCCUUUUGCUUUCCACCUUUUAAUGCUUGCUUUAACGCUAAGAACACAUCGGCGACCUUAAACAUCUCAACAAACCAAUCAGACCAGAUGAUUGGGGCGUUUUUGCAACAACACGUCCUGCUCUCCGUGUUUAGGGAUCCGGAGGACGACGGCUGAUCGUGGCCCGAUCGUUAGGCUCAGAAAUUAUCACCACGUAAAACAAAAGCAUUGAGUUAUUACAUUACAUUUUUAGGGUUUGCACGACCACAAACAUCGCUGGUUCCUGUGAGUCAGCUGCAUUUGGGUAUUUGGCAAGAAUCAACCUGUUGCCAAAUAGAAUUUGUCCCAUUACAGCCAAUAAUGGCUGUCAUUAUGGCACCAAUUGCAGACAAACGCUCAAUUACGAAGGAAAAAAGAACUUUAGAAUAAGCGACAUAAAGCCUGUAUUUGGUAUGUUUACAGUCUGAAACCCUCCUUCAAAUCUAAAACCAUGCCGAUUGUCUUCAGGUGAUAACGGAGGCCCCUCCUCCGCCUUUUCCCAGCCAUCCACCAGAUGGAUCAGCCAACCGUGGUCCCGCUUCCCUCGUCUGCUCCGCCCGGCCUCCUCCGCCACCCCCUCUCCCGGUUUACCCGGAUCACCCUCCCACUGCCUUUGCCAGUUGGUCACUGUUGCAUUGUGGGGGUUUGCUGCCUGUUAUCUAGCUCCAUGCUUCAUCGCCGCCAUGGACAACCAGGUGGCAGAACUGUCUCACCUGAAGCGACAUGGAGGUAGAGGAGGGGAGAGAACCUGCUGUUUGUACGCUGCACCCACAUGAAUCACCACAAUAAAAGCCCAGAGAAAAGCUGCGGGACGGAGGCCAAAAACCAACCACCUCUGGUGUCACUUUGUCCCCCGUCACCGCUGCUUUCUCUCAGACUCCCCCGAGAGCCAGACGGAGGAGGGGAGGGGGUCCAGGCCCCCGCCAGGACGGCUAUUAGACCUCCAAACUUCUUCCAUUCGGUACAAAGACGUCAUUGAGGCUCGUCGUAGCACCUGUUGAAGUUGUGGAGGAGAUGGCAGAGGCUCUUCCUGUGUGUCUGUGGGGAGGGGGGGGUCGGGGGGGGGGGUCCACCAUCUCCCCCACACCCAACAAACUGUUUAAAGACCUUUUUUUUUCUCCAAACUGCCGCCAUGCCAGAUAAGUCAACAAAUGGGGUCCAUUGAAACUUUGUUCAUCGUGUGAGGGGCCUUUUUGUGAGAGAGGUUG
Long non-coding RNA from Gasterosteus aculeatus aculeatus (three-spined stickleback), 1767 nucleotides. The record is from Ensembl. Lineage: Eukaryota; Metazoa; Chordata; Actinopteri; Perciformes; Gasterosteidae.